Molecule: ribosomal RNA, 253 nt
Filed under: uncultured bacterium
Lineage: Bacteria
Description: partial 16S ribosomal RNA
Rfam family: Bacterial small subunit ribosomal RNA
Source: RNAcentral
UACGUAGGUGGCAAGCGUUAUCCGGAAUUAUUGGGCGUAAAGCGCGCGCAGGUGGUUUCUUAAGUCUGAUGUGAAAGCCCACGGCUCAACCGUGGAGGGUCAUUGGAAACUGGGAGACUUGAGUGCAGAAGAGGAAAGUGGAAUUCCAUGUGUAGCGGUGAAAUGCGUAGAUAUCUGGAGGAACACCGGUGGCGAAGGCGGCAUUCUGGACUGCAACUGACACUGAAGAACGAAAGCCAGGGGAGCAAACGGG